This 996-nucleotide small RNA is filed under the name Cryptococcus neoformans H99. RNAcentral describes it as "Cryptococcus neoformans var. grubii H99 hypothetical RNA". Lineage: Eukaryota; Fungi; Basidiomycota; Tremellomycetes; Tremellales; Cryptococcaceae. The record is from RNAcentral.
AAAAAGGCCAACACAAAACGGAAAAAUACGAACAAAACUCAUUCAAUCGGUGACUAACGAUGAUCUGAGUUUGACGUCACGCUUGGUCGCCACCGUACCUGGAGUUUUGAUUCCGUUUGGGGCACUCUUUCGGCUUCGGCGAGUCUUCCUCACAGGGCACGUGGUACUACAUGUCCAUACUCCGUAUGCAAUCUACUAGAUAAGGAGAUAAGAUAUGGGAAGAAGACGUAAAGACCGUUCGUCGAGGAGAUGUGGAUACCCGUUGUUACGUAAACCCCAAUCUGCAUCGACAAGGCACAUAUGCUGCGGCUGCUGAGAGGUAUCGUGGUGGGUAUAGCGGACGUUGGCGGCGCGUAACGAGGAAAAUAAUGUGGUUGUUCCACUUGAAAUUACAGCUCAUCCGAGGUUGACUGCUGCUACUUUCAGUAGAAUCGAUGCCGGCAAAUGAUUAGGACGAGUCUGAAAUCCUGAAGAUACGAACUACGUACGAAACGACAUCUGAGAUUCAGCCGCCUUGUUCUGCUGCCUUUUCACAGCACCUUAUCGGAUUCUUUUUCCCUCUCUCUCUUAACCAAGUAUUGGUUUUAUAUGCUGAUAUCGAUACUCUAGAUGAAAAAUUGUAUCCUUGUCGUGUUUCAAAGCUUGGGACAAUGAGUUGCAUUCGAAUCAACAGUGAACGGAAUCACCGUUGGUCUGGUUAUUCCAUUGCGUUCUGUUACGACGGUCACCAGUGAUUAGGCGCAGAUAGCCUCGCGAAAUCCUGAAAUGGUGUCCAGUAAGAGACUACCGCAACGUAGGGCAAAGCACGGCUCACUUGUUUGGCAGUUCCAUUCCAGCAGCAAAACCCCUGAUACGAGCCUUGAUGCACUGGUUAUAAUGCCACUUGAGAAACCUCGGUUCGGGCCUGUCUUCUUCUUCGCCACGAAAGCGGUCGGAUCUGAGCGCUUUGCCAUGCAGUUCGCGCGCGGUUCUAGUUCGUAAGACAAAGAAAUGUAC